This is a long non-coding RNA of Zalophus californianus (California sea lion), 593 nucleotides long. RefSeq lists it as uncharacterized. The transcript is spliced from 3 exons. Lineage: Eukaryota; Metazoa; Chordata; Mammalia; Carnivora; Otariidae. The record is from RefSeq and is a predicted model, not a curated record.
CCAUGGCAUGCAACAGCCCUGUAGGGAAGCCCACAGGAAUAGACUGAGCACAAAUUUCUGUCUGCCAACAGCUAUAGGAGUGAGCCUGGCAACAGAUUCCUCAGCCCCAAUCUGACCUUGAGAUGACUGCAGCUUUGGAAAAGACCUUGAGCCAUAGGUACCCUGCUAAGAGGUCUGGACUCCUGGCCCAUAGAAACUUGUUUUCCAUUGGCCCUCAUGGGUUGGCUACCAGGGCACCUGCCCAGCUGACCCACCCCUUCACUUGACUUUGAUUCCGAGGGGACCUGGAGUAUAGCACAGAGGAGCAGGCUGAGAGCUGAGAAGCAAAACCUCAGAACAGCAUUUUGUGAAGUCGCUCUACACUUUUGGAGAACAAGCUAUAAAAUAAGUGAGUGUCCAUAACUUGGAGACUGUGAUUCCAAACCAUCUCCUGGAAAAGUGCCUCCUUCAAAAGUACCCAGAUGACCUCUUCAGAUUCUUCAUAUUCCAUCUCCCAUCCUCUGCUAAGACAUCUGUUUUCAAUUUAAAAUAUUCACAUUUCAACAGCAUUUCCCCUCUCUUUCCUUUUGCAUUGCAAAAUUAUUCAAAACAGA